GAAUCAGGAAAUAACAAGAGGAAACAUAGUUAGUUCCUCCUUUAAGGAAACCAGUGAUGCUUGGAAGUCAUUGCUAAUGUCAACACUCAUUGUAGUUCAUCAUUCUCAGUUAAUAUAGAUAGCUGAUGGUUUGUGCUAUUAGAAUAUGUGGCAUUCAUUCAAAAUUUGAUUCACAUAGCCUAGAAAAGUUUCCAAUUCUCUCAUUCAAG
This 209-nucleotide unclassified non-coding RNA is filed under the name Hevea brasiliensis (rubber tree). Lineage: Eukaryota; Viridiplantae; Streptophyta; Magnoliopsida; Malpighiales; Euphorbiaceae. The record is from RNAcentral.